AUUUUUUAGCUGGUUGAUCGUAUUAAAAACCUGAGACCACCGAGCCUCUCGACAAAACGAAGCCGUAGCUUCUGCCACGCUUCAAACAGAGCUUGGACACGUCUAUAAGUGUUGUGAGAAACUUCACUUAAAUCACUUUUCUCCAUUUUCGGAUAGAAUUUUGACUCGAUCUCUUAGCUCGUUUAUUUUAUCAAAAAUAUGAAACCAUAACCAUGUUCCUCUCCACAAAACGAAUCCAUAGCCACCAACCACACCUCAAACAGAGCUCGGGCGUAGCUGUAAUCACCAUGAGAAGCUUCGUCAAAACCAUGAGAAACAUCGCCGGAAUUGCUGGAUUUGUUUAUAAUCUGGUUUACAAUUUUGGAGAUUAGCACAAAUCAAAACCUAUGGAUUUGUCUUUGGAGAAGAGGAAAAUGAAGAGGUGCUGGAGUAAAGAGAAGAAGAAAAUGUUGGUUAUAGAUGGAUGGAUGAUGCAAGUUGUGGAUGGACGACUCGUGGAUGGACAAUACGUAAACGAGUCGUGGAUAGAUAAUUUGUGGAUAGAUAUGCAGAGAAAAUGUAAACACAUCCAUAUGUAAACGACAAACAGAAAUUUA
This 596-nucleotide long non-coding RNA is filed under the name Brassica napus (rape). Its description in RNAcentral is "long non-coding RNA (BNAP_LNC024970)". The record is from RNAcentral. Lineage: Eukaryota; Viridiplantae; Streptophyta; Magnoliopsida; Brassicales; Brassicaceae.